This 98-nucleotide microRNA precursor is filed under the name Felis catus (domestic cat). Its description in RNAcentral is "mir-544 microRNA precursor family". It matches the Rfam family "mir-544 microRNA precursor family". Lineage: Eukaryota; Metazoa; Chordata; Mammalia; Carnivora; Felidae. The record is from Rfam by way of RNAcentral.
AUCACCUAGGACCCUUGUUGAAAUGCAGAUUAUGAUUCAGUGGGCCUGAAAUAUGGUCUGAGAUUCUGCAUUUCUAAUAAGCUCCCAGGUGUGACCAC